RNAcentral lists this long non-coding RNA (245 nucleotides) under Elaeis guineensis (African oil palm). RNAcentral describes it as "long non-coding RNA (EGUI_LNC067283)". The record is from RNAcentral. Lineage: Eukaryota; Viridiplantae; Streptophyta; Magnoliopsida; Arecales; Arecaceae.
UAGAAGAGGAACUAUCCUCAAUAUAUCGCUUCUGUUAAUCCGAACAGGCCAAAGAAGAAGAAGCAAUCAUUGCUGGACAAGACACUUAUGUGAUAACACCUUGUAACUUCUCUCUUUUUGAUACAUUGACUUGGGUAUUGAAUAUCGAUAGUUCUAUUCAUAUUUGCAAUUCGUUGCAGGAUCUUUAGAUCAUUAAGAGAUUUGAAGAUGGUGAGAGAUUUUUGAAUGUUGGAGAUGGAAGAUCA